CAACCCCUGUGAACAUACCUAUACGUUGCCUCGGCGGAUCAGCCCGCGCCCUGUAAAAAGGGACGGCCCGCCCGAGGACCCUAAACUCUGUUUUUAGUGGAACUUCUGAGUAAAACAAACAAAUAAAUCAAAACUUUCAACAACGGAUCUCUUGGUUCUGGCAUCGAUGAAGAACGCAGCAAAAUGCGAUAAGUAAUGUGAAUUGCAGAAUUCAGUGAAUCAUCGAAUCUUUGAACGCACAUUGCGCCCGCCAGUAUUCUGGCGGGCAUGCCUGUUCGAGCGUCAUUUCAACCCUCAAGCUCAGCUUGGUGUUGGGACUCGCGGUAACCCGCGUUCCCCAAAUCGAUUGGCGGUCACGUCGAGCUUCCAUAGCGUAGUAAUCAUACACCUCGUUACUGGUAAUCGUCGCGGCCACGCCGUAAAACCCCAACUUCUGAAUGUUGACCUCGGAUCAGGUAGGAAUACCCGCUGAACUUAAGCAUAUCAAUAAGGCCGGAGGAA
RNAcentral lists this ribosomal RNA (501 nucleotides) under fungal sp. YWGKDF10. Its description in RNAcentral is "eukaryotic LSU rRNA". The stretch from base 132 to 285 matches the Rfam family "5.8S ribosomal RNA". The record is from RNAcentral. Lineage: Eukaryota; Fungi.